AAUUGCCUUCAGAGUCCCUAAAAGCACAAUAUUCUGUCUGAUCUUCGGAGCUAAGUAGGGUCAGCCCUGGUUAGUAUUUGGAUGGGUGACUGCCAAUGAAUACCAGGUAUAGUAAGCU
RNAcentral lists this ribosomal RNA (118 nucleotides) under Anolis carolinensis (green anole). Lineage: Eukaryota; Metazoa; Chordata; Lepidosauria; Squamata; Anolidae. The record is from RNAcentral.